UAGGAGUGUUGGAUGAUUUAGGGAAUUUCGAAUCAAAUGAAGGGUCGAGUGCCAACAAGAGGAAGAAAGAGGAGGAACCAGAUGCAAAGGGAGUUCUCGAGGUUUCACCCUCGACGAGACUCUCAGAUAGUGAUGAUGGAGAUUUCCCCUGCUAGGGAAAACAUUGAUACCCAAUAUGCUUUAACUACUGUAGCUCUAGGUGGAAGAGACCCUGAUUUUACCGAAGUUCAAUAACACUGAAAUGUGAAUGUAACCCAAACUGAGGACACCGAAAUACUGGGAAACUUUACAGGCCGCCAAGAAGAUGCUGAUGUGGGGAGAACGCAAAUCUUGAAGCUGUGGGUGAGCACGAUUCUCUGUCACCGGUGAUGAAUGCAAGUAGGAAUUUUACUAUUUCUAUUUUUGUCUGAAAACUUUUUUGUUGAUAAUGAUGUUCUUGUUUUUGAGCAAGAGCCGUGAGUUAGUUGGUAUUAGGGAAAAAGGUAGGACUUCUGCAAAUGAUGUUAUUGUUAUUCAUGUUGUUAUUUUAUCCAACC
Molecule: long non-coding RNA, 536 nt
Filed under: Gossypium barbadense (sea-island cotton)
Lineage: Eukaryota; Viridiplantae; Streptophyta; Magnoliopsida; Malvales; Malvaceae
Description: long non-coding RNA (GBAR_LNC008826)
Source: RNAcentral